ACACAAGACACAACAACAACAAUGAACAACAUCAUCAUCCUCAUCUGGACUCUCACACUGUUUGCUCAAGAGUGUAGAGGACAGUACACUGUAACUCAGAGUCCAUCAAUAACAGCAGCUCAACCAGGACAAGAAGUCAGAAUAAACUGUAAAACCAGCAGUAAUGUGUACAGUGAUAGUAAUGGGAUAUGGAUGAGCUGGUAUUUACAGAAACCUGGAGAAGCUCCUAAACUCCUCAUAUAUCUUGCAUCAACCCGUUUCACUGGAACUCCAUCUAGAUUCAGUGGCAGUGGAUCUAACAGUGAUUUCACUAUGACCAUCAGUGGAGUCCAGACUGAAGAUACAGGAGAUUAUUACUGUCAGAGUUUCCACUAUCCAAACAGUAAAUAUGUGUUCACACAGUGAUAAAGAGUCGUACAAAAACCUCCGUCAGUCAGAGUCACAGUGACUGCACUGAUACAGCUGAGAGAUACUGCAGCUGCUGAUCAGAGGAUAUGAUUAAAUAUGUUUACUGUAAUUAUUAUUUACUUUUGGUUCUUUGGAGAUUCAGAAAGUUCUUCAUUUGUUAUUACAGGUUCUUCAAAUCAGUGCAUUGGUUCAGUGGAGACUGGAAAUAUGGACCAUGGUGUGGUACACUUGAGGAGUACAGUAUGUAAUAAACAGCAGUUUCAUCAUGAUACGAUAUGACAUUGAUUCUCUUUUUUAUGAUAUGAUUUGAUAUUUGCCAUUAUGUCCAAACAUGCAGUAAUAAGAUUACAAUUCAAUCAAUACAUCAUAUAUUUAGUAAUUUGAUAUUAAAUUACAUCAGUGUGGUAUUCUUGACCUCCAGCACUCAAACCACAUGGAGACAAAUGCUUCACAUUAUGUCUAUAUAACACAACUCAACGAGGCAUAAAAUGUGUUUGUAUCUGGUUCAACAACAUAUUUAAACAGUAAAACAAUCAUUUUGAUUAUCAGU
Molecule: non-coding RNA, 958 nt
Organism: Carassius carassius (crucian carp)
Lineage: Eukaryota; Metazoa; Chordata; Actinopteri; Cypriniformes; Cyprinidae
Source: the annotation of a RefSeq genome assembly